Molecule: long non-coding RNA, 226 nt
Filed under: Hordeum vulgare
Lineage: Eukaryota; Viridiplantae; Streptophyta; Magnoliopsida; Poales; Poaceae
Description: long non-coding RNA (HVUL_LNC006702)
Source: RNAcentral
AUGGGUUGUAUGAGAUCUUCCCUUUGACGCAAGCCCAUGGAAACACACUUAACCCCCACAUAGAACUCUCACGAAGACCAUGGGUUAGUACACAAACACGUAAUGGACAAUGCUUACCAUACCAUGGGAUCACUUGAUCCCUCUCGGUACAUCUUGUACGCUUUGUGUGUUGAUCAUCUUGAUUUACUCUUUGUCUGAGAUCUUGAUCAACCAUGUGUCUCUAUGA